This 2851-nucleotide long non-coding RNA is filed under the name Linum usitatissimum (flax). RNAcentral's name for it is "long non-coding RNA (LUSI_LNC005538)". Lineage: Eukaryota; Viridiplantae; Streptophyta; Magnoliopsida; Malpighiales; Linaceae. The record is from RNAcentral.
UCAUCACUAUAUACUUUACCGGUCUGUUAACUGCUCUUACCACUAGGGCCAACAAGAAAAUAAAAGCCUGCAAUUACAAGUAGUUUAUUAUUUGUCGGUGCGUCAGUUCAGAUUCCUUCUCAGCUGCAUAAUCAAAAUCAAGCUACAUCAACUAAAACAAAACAAUCUACAAGCAAGGGAUAUUUUAACUACUUUCCCACUGAACUGCACUUCCUUCCAACCAUUUAUCCAAUACCAACACCAGUCAAAACCAUUCGUUAUAAAAUUCUUGAAAUAAAUUUGUCAUCCCACAUAAAUGAAGACAUCGUUAUAAAAUUCCAGCCAUUUAUCCCACCCAUUUGAGAAGACAAGAGGUGAAACAAUCACCUUGGUUCGGUGGUACGCGUCGGCGGCGGCAGAGAGGAGCGACGUUCGGUAGUACGUGUCGGCGCAGGGAGGAGCGAGGACCGGCGGUGGCAGAUUCGGCGUCGAUCGUCUGCACAGAGAGGCGAUGGAAGGAAGAUGACCGCCGGCUGCAAGUUCAGCGUCGGAGUGAGGAGUGAGGACCGGCUGCAAGCUCGGCGUCGGUGGGAAGCUCGGCAGCGGCAGAGUGAGUCGGCGGCAGCUUCAAUCUCGGCGUCGAUUGUUGAUGAUGGGUGAGAACGGCGGGCGGAAGGCUAGGUUUGGAGUUGGGUAUUCGCGUAUUUAGGUCAGAUUUAAUUUUUUGUUUGUUUUUUUUUAAACCGCCUGCUGUCUGCCUUUUCCUUGUCGGCGCCGAGAAGACGCUCGCGACGUCGAUUCCGCGCAGCUCCACCUUAAUCAGGCCGCCUCGCACUAAUCAGGGCGUUUUCUUUCCGCUCUUCCGAUUUUUCUGCCUCGACGCGCCUUCCCGAACACUGGUAUGCAGAUAGAUUGUAUCAUCGGGAAACUUUCAUGCCGUGCGUGCUUCUGGCGUCUAGUAUGCAAAUGCAAGCAUGUCAUGACGCCAGGCUGCUCCUACAUUUGGACAGCAUAGCCGAUGCCGAUGCCGAUGUCUGAUUUUGUAUCCAUGUUGUACUGUGCGGUAGUCUCGAGAUCCACAUCUAUUUCAGGUGGUACUCGUAUACAUUUUGGUGAUAGUAUUACAUAUUACAGUGUGGCGAAUGACGCUGUAGUCAAGGUGGUAGCUCUGCCAGUUUUCAACCUGGAGAUCCCAGGUUUAAAUCCGGCAAAUGUCACCCCGAGUAUCUGCUGCAAUGUCAUAUAGUGAUCGUGUGAAAAGGGUUUACUCGUCAUAAAAAAAAUACAUUCGAGUAGUAGAUGAUGUGAUGUUCCCAGAUUGGCGUUAGCAGCAGACUUUCUUUAUAGUGAGUGAGUCCGUAAAUUCGAGGAAAAUUGCAAACAUUUUUGUCAUAGGCGUUUUUGCAUAUCGCUUCAUGUCUGGAAACACAUCUUUCUUUUGAGUUUUGAACUUGGUAAAUGUCGACUCAAGGAUGACAGGAGUAGUUUCCGAUGCGAUUUUCGACAACUCGUACCUCAGUUCCUGAAAUUUGUUUCACCCGCCGCCCGAUCACCUUCCUCAGCUGGAUUUUGAAGAUUUUUUUGGGGUGUACACGUUGUAUGCAAAUUUCAUAACUUUUUUGCAUAGAGCGCAUACAAUAACGAGCUAUAUACGUACGGCCCCUUUUAAUUUCUCAGUUGAUGUUUCUUAUUAAUUCAGUUGCACAAACCUUCAUAUACAUUGGUUUCACCGAUCCUGUCUAUCUAUUUGACCAUCAAUCCCCUGCCUCCAGUUUUACAUGUUUAUAUGAAAAUAUGAAAUAUCUGAAGCAGUAAUCAUCACCACAGCAGCAAACGAUGAUGAUUCAAGACCAAGGUGGACGCGAGCAGAGGCAAAAUCGUGAUGAUAUGAUAGUAGUCCCUCCGAGGAGGAGCAGAAUUAGGUAGAAAUGGGUAAUCUUCAGGGGAAGGCAUCAUGCAUUCAUCCCCAUUGAAGUAAACUUUCCUUGGAAACGCCCACCCUUGCUUCAACGUGAAGGUAUCCACAUCUUUCUCAAGUAACAGCUCCGACUGUACAUUCCCUUCCGGACCCGCUUGGUUCAGGAAAUCGUUGAAGAACUUUAGUCCAAAAAACAUCCCCGAAUCAUCUGCAACAGUUCCAAAAAAAAAUUCAUGUAUACAAUCCUGAUGUAAACAGGAUUUGGAACUAACUCUCCUUGUUAAACUUACUGCUGGAUUUGUAGGGGUGAAGUGGCUUGUACCCGAAGCUAAAAGCUUCAGUGAGGUUGUUGAAAUUCGGGUGCUGAACUACUAGUGUCCAUUGUGAGUAGUUCAUCAUGUGGUCGAAAUUAGUGAUGGACAUCUUCACUCUCCAAUACUGCUUGUAGUUCAGCUUUACAUGCCAAUGGACCCUUAUAGGACACAUGUGCUGUGUGCAUUCUAACAGUGGGGAACCAAUGGAGCUCAAUGGGUGUUUGUUUGCUCCUCCAACGACACUCAAAAUCUUCGAAUCAUUACUCCUGCACGUAUGCAAUGCAGUUAUGUCAGGGUUUAGGAUUUAUGGAUAGAACUGUUAGCUAUGAAGUUCUGCAAUAGUUGAAGAACUUACCUGACACAAUUGUUACUGUUCUUGUUACAGCCACAAGCACAGGAAGGACAAGGUGUGAUUGUAGAGUUGUAAAAGGAUGACAUUGAAACACAGCACUUUGGAUGCUGAGAUGCCAGCACCUGAGAGUAAGUACACGUCACAUUCCAUGUCACUGUCAACAAUAACAAAUUGUCAGAAUCUGAUCCAACAAAUUUCCAAGAAGCAAAAACCUUUAGCUAGAGAAACUCACUCAUGGAUUGAGUCUUUCGACGACCAUCUGAGCUCAUGAAAACAGUCCGGGGAACG